UAGGAUAUCAAGUAGUAGAAGUUGAAGCAAUGCUAGGUUUUGCUUUAUCUUCUCAACGGUUCUGUUAGUCACUAUUAUGUUGUCUUUACGAGCGGUCGUGUUAAGUUUUUUAAUCUACUCUACAUGGUGCGAAGAAUUGAGUUUUCCUCCAGACUUCAUGUUCGGAGCUGCUUCAGCUGCCUAUCAGGUGGAAGGAGGAUGGAAAGCUGCCGAUAAAGGAGAAAGCUUAUGGGAUGCACUGACCCAUGAGACCCCGAGUAAGGUCUUUGAUGGUAACACCGGCGAUAUUGCCUGCGACUCGUACAACCAAUGGAGAAGGGACAUAGAAAUGGCUGCCGAACUUGGCUUGAGCCAUUACCGAUUCUCCUUGUCUUGGACGCGAAUUCUGCCUACAGGCUUUGCGAACUACAUAAGUGAAGAUGGAAAGAAUUACUACAACAAUCUCAUCGACGGACUACUUGCAAGAAACAUAGAGCCUCUGGUCACGAUACAUCAUUUUGACUUGCCUUCCAUUUUUCAAGACAUGGGAGGCUUCACAAACCCCCUCAUUGUCGACUGGUUCGCUGAUUUCGCAAGAGUUGUGUACUCUCUCUUCGCUGACCGAGUAAAAUACUGGAUUUCAAUUAACGAGCCACUUGGACUAUGCGAUGCUGGUUACAACGGGGUUAUCGCUCCAGCCCUUCACAGUCCAGAUCUUGCCGUGUAUUUGUGCAGCAAAUAUGUGCUAUUAGCCCACGCUAAGGCCUGGAGAAUUUACGACGAAGAAUACAAGCCAAAAUAUCAUGGUAAAAUGACAAUAUCGCAGCUCGCUCUGUGGUUUGAGCCGCUGAGGGAAGAGGAUGAAGAACGAACCGCACUUAUGAAUGCCUUUUGUGAAGAAAGGUUCGGCCAUCCCAUAUUUAAAGGCAACUGGCCACCAGAUUUAGCUAUGUUAAUAGAAGAGAGAAGCUUUGAGAAGGGCUUCUCCAGGUCCAGACUACCGUCUUUUACACAACAAGAAGCAGAAUAUAUCAAAGGAACUUAUGAUUACUACGCUCUCAACCAUUACACCACAUUCUUGGUGAAGAUCGCCGAAGGAAAUGAAUCAGGCAUAUGGCCAUUCACUGGCGCGCCCGAAAUAGGUGUCGUAUUCCGUCAGGGCGAAGGCUGGGAAACUGCUGCCCCAUCUUGGUUUGGAGUGAGAACUAAUUUCCAUCUACCCGGAAGGCUUGAGAAACCAGUUGAAUUGGAUCAGGGAGAAAUACGGUGAUGUGCAAAUCUUGAUCACUGAGAAUGGAUAUGCUGACGACUCCAAUGGUCUCCGUGACGUGGAGAGAGUGCAGUACAUAAAGAACUAUUUGGGAGAGGUCCUGAAGGCUAUUAAAAUUGACAAGAUAAAUGUAACAGCAUACACGGCUUGGACCCUGAUGGAUAAUUUCGAAUGGCUGAUGGGAUAC
RNAcentral lists this unclassified non-coding RNA (1436 nucleotides) under Bombyx mandarina (wild silkworm). RNAcentral's name for it is "myrosinase 1-like, transcript variant X2". The record is from RNAcentral. Lineage: Eukaryota; Metazoa; Arthropoda; Insecta; Lepidoptera; Bombycidae.